RNAcentral lists this ribosomal RNA (317 nucleotides) under uncultured bacterium. RNAcentral describes it as "bacterial SSU rRNA". It matches the Rfam family "Bacterial small subunit ribosomal RNA", at positions 28 to 334 of the family's 1533-position model. The record is from RNAcentral.
GAUGAACGCUAGCUACAGGCUUAACACAUGCAAGUCGAGGGGAAACGGCAUUGAGUGCUUGCACUCUUUGGACGUCGACCGGCGCACGGGUGAGUAACGCGUAUCCAACCUUCCCAUUACUGUGGGAUAACCUGCCGAAAGGCAGACUAAUACCGCAUGGUCUUCGAUGACGGCAUCAGAUUUGAAGUAAAGAUUUAUCGGUAACGGAUGGGGAUGCGUGACAUUAGAUAGUAGGCGGGGUAACGGCCCACCUAGUCUACGAUGUCUAGGGGUUCUGAGAGGAAGGUCCCCCACACUGGAACUGAGACACGGUCCAG